CAAUAGCGUAUAUUAAAGUUGUUGCAGUUAAAAAGCUCGUAGUUGGACUUGUGGUGGUCCCUGUGGUCCAAUUUUGGUACUAUCGGGGACUUCCAUCUUCGGGUGGAUCCUGUGUGGCAUUAGGUUGUCGUGCAGGGGAUGCCCAUCGUUUACUGUGAAAAAAUUAGAGUGUUCAAAGCAGGCUUAUGCCGUUGAAUAUAUUAGCAUGGAAUAAUGAGAUAGGACCUUGGUACUAUUUUGUUGGUUUGCGCACCGAGGUAAUGAUUAAUAGGGACAGUUGUGGGUAUUCGUAUUCCAUUGUCAGAGGUGAAAUUCUUGGAUUUCUGGAAGACGAACUAAUGCGAAAGCAUUUACCAAGGAUGUUUUCAUUAA
This 372-nucleotide ribosomal RNA is filed under the name uncultured eukaryote. Its description in RNAcentral is "partial 18S ribosomal RNA". It matches the Rfam family "Eukaryotic small subunit ribosomal RNA", at positions 592 to 976 of the family's 1831-position model. The record is from RNAcentral.